RNAcentral lists this ribosomal RNA (497 nucleotides) under uncultured bacterium. Its description in RNAcentral is "bacterial SSU rRNA". It matches the Rfam family "Bacterial small subunit ribosomal RNA", at positions 21 to 507 of the family's 1533-position model. The record is from RNAcentral.
GGCUCAGGAUGAACGCUAGCUACAGGCUUAACACAUGCAAGUCGAGGGGCAGCAUGAACAAAGCUUGCUUUGUUUGAUGGCGACCGGCGCACGGGUGCGUAACACGUAUCCAAUCUGCCCGCGGCUCGGGGAUAGCCCAUCGAAAGAUGGAUUAAUACCCGAUGGCGUGGUUUCUCCGCAUGGAGUUUCCACUAAAGGUUUUCCGGCCGCGGAUGAGGAUGCGUAUGAUUAGGUAGUAGGCGGGGUAACGGCCCACCUAGCCUUCGAUCAUUAGGGGUUCUGAGAGGAAGGUCCCCCACACUGGAACUGAGACACGGUCCAGACUCCUACGGGAGGCAGCAGUGAGGAAUAUUGGUCAAUGGAGGCAACUCUGAACCAGCCAAGUAGCGUGCAGGAUGACGGCCCUAUGGGUUGUAAACUGCUUUUAUGCGGGGAUAAAUGAUCCUACGUGUAGGAUUUUGCAGGUACCGCAUGAAUAAGGACCGGCUAAUUCCGUG